AACGCGAAGAACCUUACCAGGGCUUGACAUCCCACUGACCGCUUUAGAAAUAAGGCUUUCCCUUCGGGGACAGUGGUGACAGGUGGUGCAUGGUUGUCGUCAGCUCGUGUCGUGAGAUGUUCGGUUAAGUCCGAUAACGAGCGCAACCCUUUUCUCUAAUUGCUAACAUUCAGUUGAGAACCUUAGAGAUACUGCCGGUGACAAACCGGAGGAAGGUGGGGAUGACGUCAAAUCAUCAUGCCCCUUACGUCCUGGGCUACAGGCGUGCUAUAAUGGCAGAUAUAAAAAGUCGCAAAACCGUGAGGUGGAGCUAAUCUGUAAAGUCUGUCUCAGUUCGGAUUGAAGUCUGCAACUCGACUUCAUGAAGCUAGAAUUGCUAGUAAUCGUGGAUCAGAAUGCCACGGUGAAUACGUUCCCGGGUCUUGUACACACCG
Molecule: ribosomal RNA, 434 nt
Filed under: uncultured Paenisporosarcina sp.
Lineage: Bacteria; Bacillati; Bacillota; Bacilli; Caryophanales; Caryophanaceae
Description: bacterial SSU rRNA
Rfam family: Bacterial small subunit ribosomal RNA
Source: RNAcentral